AGAGCGAACGCUGGCGGCAGGCCUAACACAUGCAAGUCGAGCGGCCGUAGCAAUACGGCAGCGGCAGACGGGAGAGUAACACGUGGGAACGCGCCCUUCGGUUCGGAAUAACUCAGGGAAACUUGAGCUAAUACCGGAUACGCCCUUACGGGGAAAGAUUUAUUGCCGAAGGAACGGCCCGCGUCCGAUUAGCUUGUUGGUGAGGUAAUGGCUCACCAAGGCGACGAUCGGUAGCUGGUCUGAGAGGAUGACCAGCCUCACUGGGACUGAGACACGGCCCAGACUCCUACGGGAGGCAGCAGUGGGGAAUAUUGGACAAUGGGCGCAAGCCUGGAUCCAGCCAUGCCGCGUGGAUGAUGAAGGCCUUAGGGUUGUAAAGUCCUUUUAACGGGGAAGAUAAUGACGGUACCGUAGAAUAAGCCCCGGCUAACUUCGUGCCAGCAGCCGC
This 448-nucleotide ribosomal RNA is filed under the name uncultured bacterium. Its description in RNAcentral is "SSU rRNA". It matches the Rfam family "Bacterial small subunit ribosomal RNA", at positions 26 to 518 of the family's 1533-position model. The record is from RNAcentral.